This is a non-coding RNA of Heterocephalus glaber (naked mole-rat), 331 nucleotides long. The record is from RefSeq and is a predicted model, not a curated record. NCBI's taxonomy places the organism in Eukaryota, Metazoa, Chordata, Mammalia, Rodentia, Bathyergidae.
AUCUCCAGGUGCUUCUCUUCUCUACAAGCCAGUGCUAAAGAUAUAGCAUCCCGUCUGGCCUUUAAUGGGCACUCCAUGUUUGGUAAAUGACUGAAAAUGUUUCUUUUGCUUCCUAUCCUGCCUGUAUUGCUUAAGGUCAGCCAGAAUGUUCUAGAAAAAGGAGGGCAGCUGGUAAUCCAAUAACAGCUGCUAUGAUUGGCCCCAAGACAUGGGUAAUAAAAGGAAGAAAUAAGCAGAGUUUCUUUUAUACUCUCCCCUAACUGUAAUCACCACAGAAGACUUCCAGGACCUCAUCAUGGAAAUUUCUGUUUUCCCAGCAGCAAGAAAGCAA